This 524-nucleotide ribosomal RNA is filed under the name uncultured bacterium. Its description in RNAcentral is "partial 16S ribosomal RNA". It matches the Rfam family "Bacterial small subunit ribosomal RNA", at positions 28 to 523 of the family's 1533-position model. The record is from RNAcentral.
GACGAACGCUGGCGGCGUGCCUAAUACAUGCAAGUCGAGCGCAGGAAACUGACGGAACUCUUCGGAGGGAAGGCAGUGGAAUGAGCGGCGGACGGGUGAGUAACACGUAAGGAACCUGCCUCAAGGAUUGGGAUAACUCCGAGAAAUCGGAGCUAAUACCGGAUAGUUCAACGGACCGCAUGGUCCGCUGAUGAAAGGCGCUCCGGCGUCACCUUGAGAUGGCCUUGCGGUGCAUUAGCUAGUUGGUGGGGUAACGGCCCACCAAGGCGACGAUGCAUAGCCGACCUGAGAGGGUGAUCGGCCACACUGGGACUGAGACACGGCCCAGACUCCUACGGGAGGCAGCAGUAGGGGAUCUUCCACAAUGGACGAAAGUCUGAUGGAGCAACGCCGCGUGAGUGAUGAAGGUUUUCGGAUCGUAAAACUCUGUUGUAAGGGAAGAACACGUACGAGAGGAAAUGCUCGUACCUUGACGGUACCUUACGAGAAAGCCACGGCUAACUACGUGCCAGCAGCCGCCGUAA